GUGUCACUUCAGCAGCACAUAUACUAAAAUUGUAACAAUACAGAUAAGAUUAGCAUGCCCCCAGUGGAAGAAUGGCACACAAAUUUAUGAAGCAUUCAUAUUUUUA
Molecule: small nuclear RNA, 106 nt
Filed under: Peromyscus maniculatus bairdii (prairie deer mouse)
Lineage: Eukaryota; Metazoa; Chordata; Mammalia; Rodentia; Cricetidae
Source: RNAcentral